CCUACGGGAGGCAGCAGUGGGGAAUAUUGCACAAUGGGGGAAACCCUGAUGCAGCCAUGCCGCGUGUGUGAAGAAGGUCUUCGGGUUGUAAAGCACUUUCAGCGAGGAGGAAAGGUUGAUGCCUAAUACGUAUCAGCUGUGACGUUACUCGCAGAAGAAGUACCGGCUAACUCCGUGCCAGCAGCCGCGGUAAUACGGAGGG
Molecule: ribosomal RNA, 202 nt
Filed under: uncultured bacterium
Lineage: Bacteria
Description: partial 16S ribosomal RNA
Rfam family: Bacterial small subunit ribosomal RNA
Source: RNAcentral